RNAcentral lists this ribosomal RNA (253 nucleotides) under uncultured bacterium. Its description in RNAcentral is "partial 16S ribosomal RNA". It matches the Rfam family "Bacterial small subunit ribosomal RNA", at positions 524 to 776 of the family's 1533-position model. The record is from RNAcentral.
UACAGAGGGGGCAAGCGUUAUUCGGAAUUAUUGGGCGUAAAGGGCGCGUAGGCGGCCUGGCAAGUGGAAGGUGAAAUCCCUCGGCUUAACCGAGGAACUGCCCUCCAAACUGCCUGGCUUGAGUCCGGGAGGGGUGAGUGGAAUUCCCAGUGUAGCGGUGAAAUGCGUAGAUAUUGGGAGGAACACCAGUGGCGAAGGCGGCUCACUGGACCGGAACUGACGCUGAUGCGCGAAGGCCAGGGGAGCAAACGGG